GCCGGGGUGGCGGAACGGUAGACGCCGCGGACUUAAAAUCCGCUGUCCACAAGGACGUGUGGGUUCGAAUCCCGCCCCCGGCACCA
Molecule: transfer RNA, 86 nt
Filed under: Chloroflexota bacterium
Lineage: Bacteria; Bacillati; Chloroflexota
Also listed under: 1 other name
Description: Chloroflexi bacterium tRNA-Leu
Rfam family: tRNA
About the family: Transfer RNA (tRNA) molecules are approximately 80 nucleotides in length. Their secondary structure includes four short double-helical elements and three loops (D, anti-codon, and T loops).
Source: RNAcentral